Felis catus (domestic cat) is the source of this 8827-nucleotide long non-coding RNA. RefSeq lists it as uncharacterized. The record is from RefSeq and is a predicted model, not a curated record. The transcript is spliced from 5 exons. Lineage: Eukaryota; Metazoa; Chordata; Mammalia; Carnivora; Felidae.
CUUUAGCAAUACUGUGGCCACCUUGCCCCGGGCUCGUCAGGGGCUGGGCUUGGCAUAGGGCUGUACCUCCCAGGCAGCCGGUGUCCCUUGUUCUCCAGGCUCCCCUGUUGCCUGGCAACAGCGUUGGCUGCCGUGUAUUUUCUGACCGUGGCGACUCCACUCACCCACUUUACCUGCCGGCCCAGAAUGGUACAAUCCUUGGAAAAAAUGAAGAAAUAGUGCUUCUCAGACUUCAGUGAGCACAUGGACCACCUAAAGCUCUUGCCAAAAUGGAAACCCUGAACCAACUUCAGAGGGCAGGAUGGGAGACAGAGAUGGAAAUGACAAAGCAGGAAGGAAAAGUACUGAGAAGACUGGCUUUCUAGAAUGCAUCAUGUUGUUAUGCUGUGAACAAUGGGAACCUCUUCAGUAAAUAACCUUUAAACAACAGGAUAAAUGCAAAUGACAUGACAAAUUAUUGGCCCAAUUCAGAUGAUGGAGAAGAGACUGCACCUGUUGAUCCAUGGGCGGUACAGGAUUAAGAAUCAAGAAAAGGGGGUCCAGACAUAUCAAAACAUUUAAAACAGGGGCUGGAAAUGGAGGACAAAGAAGCAAAUCUCUGGCCAUAAGCAAGACAUAGUAAGGGACCGAGAGUUCUCGUAAUCUAUUCCCAAAAGAUGAUGGCUCCAUUUACAGUCAACAAGGAGAAGAACAUUCUCAUUGGCUGUAAAGAACUUCAACUCCGUAAACUGAGAAGCAUCAGGAAAAGGAGACCAGGAUUUAAAAAGGAAAAAGAAAAGCGAGCAGAUGCGUGUGUGUGUCCUCCAUUAUCUGUCAAGGGCAAAAGGGAGAGGCAGCAGCCACCAGGACUGCAUGCAGCUGAGGAUCCAAUGCUGCCCUGGAAGGAAUUCAAAACGGCUCCUCGUGAGAAGGACAGAGUCCCACUAAUUUACAAACACUCAGAAGCAUCUUGAGGCCAUAAUAACAUGCUAGCUACAAGAGUCACUGGAAAUAUUCAGCAAAAAGCGGAAGUCUUAUUUCAUCACAUCUGAAGUAAUACGACGUAGUAAAGACACGCCCACGAGACUAAAGUGCACACUUGUGUGGGGUAACUCUUGCCAGUUACCUGGUGAAAAGUCAAACAGAAUCCUGGACUGCAGCACACACAACAGUGAGAUCUUCUCAAAUGAAGGUCCUCCCUUCUCCAGAGUUGAACGGCAACUACUUUAAAUCCCAGGGCUAGUUGUUCCCCCAGCUCUUAUCAGCCAUCUAGUCUUGAGACUGGCACAAGGAUUUACAGUUUUCUAGGUACAUGAUAUUAAAACAGUUUCCUUUCAUUUUAUACUUGUAAUAAAAAGGAUGAAGUCUUAAAACUAACUUUUAAGAAGUCAAUGAAACCUGACAGCAGCAUAUGAAAUGAAAGCAUUUGCUGAACACAGCCAUCUGAAAAGCUGGCUUUAGUCCAAGCUAGUCACAAAUCCCAGCACAAGGCACCUGCUAACAAAGGCCUCUGACUUUGUAGGACUUCUCAGAAUAGCUCAUAUAUUCGGUAAACUAGGUAACAGAAUUUAUGCACUAUCAGCUGUGUGUAUAUUAACAAAAUUACUGAGGUACUUUAUUAUAUGUAAUAACUCAGAAAUUAAAAAGGAAAAUCAUCUGAUUCACGACACACACAUCUCCCUAGGUAACGAAAGUUUUACAGCUCCGAUAUUCUGAGUUCUUGAAAAGGAAAGACAGAACAAAGAAAGUUACCAAGUAAUUUUAGAGGCCUCAGUAAGUAGGAAUGAGUCUGCAACAAUCAGGAUGCAGGAAAAAAAAGGGGGAGAAGUCCAUAAUCUCUCUAAAAAGAGGACCCACUGUAUUGUCCAUCUAUCCGGACUCCAUUUCUAAAUAGCUAAUCAAAGGUAAGAGCUGUUUGCUAUGGCUCUUACCUGAGUGGAAAUAAAGUGCAUCUGACUGCAUUAAGGAAACUGAUGCUGGCACUCAUCUGGUUUCUUUGCUUAAAAGCUCUUUGGCUCAGUCACUGUGAUUGUCAGACUGUUCCAGAGCACCUGUGGACCACCGUUAAUUUUCAAACGGUUCCCAGACCCAUUUUUCAAAUGACAAAAAAGGCACACAAAAGAAGUAAAAUUAGCAUCUGUGGUGACAGAACAAGAAACAAGAAGAGCCAAGAGCUGAUAUUUGGAGUUUAGUUUAGCCUAGGUCAGGUGGAUUCUACUAACAUAUACUGAACAAUUUCUACACAAACAUAGACGGGGGAUCAGUUACUUCGUUCCAUAGUGGUUUGGUUAAGGUUUUAACCAAAUUUUGAACUGCUGCUUCUCUAAGAGCUGAAUGUUUCCUGGAGAUCAUCCUGCCAGUACCGAACUUAUCUUAAGCCAUCUGACAGUAAGAUAUGAAAAAACUACAGUACCAGAAAUACCAUUGCCCAGUCUGAAAAUGACUCAAAGUCAGCAUUUUUCUGUUAGUGUGACAAAUAAUUAAACCCUUGUUUAAGGAUAAAAAAAUAUUUUGUUUUUAUGGAAGAAGUCUCACUUGUCCAGCACUGAGAGAUAACCCCACGCUGCUAGAGGUCUAAGGUGUAAUACUACUUCUUCCAGCUUUUGAUAGGCUUUUAUUUUAACACAGUUAACAAAAUGUUUUAUAGUUACCCUAGGGGAACCUUAAGCAAAACAACCAUCACAAACCAUAUAAAAUGUUUGUAAUGUUUCUAAUUUAACCAUCUCCUAGAGUUAGAAAGAACCACCAAUUACUAGAUGACACAAUCUCAAAAGAACUGCAUAGCACUGUUCAUUUAUAUUUCACCAUCAAACAGCAGGUAGCCUUUGGUCUUAAAAAUAGAAGCGGGCCCAACCCACAAAGAACCUGAGUAAUGUGACCUUUCUUUCAGUCUCAUUUCCAGAAGCAUGCGUCUCGGUUUAAAACCUGUAAGUUGAUGUGAACUCUUCACAUACAACUAAUUCAGUGCAAUUUAAAAUCCAGUACAAUCAGUAACAUUAUAGAAUUACGAAUGAGAAUAAUGGUUACUUAAUCUUUAUUCAUUGACUUGAAAGACUAUACUUUCACUUGCUCUGUUAUUUUUUACUAUGAGAAGAACAAAAGGAGAAGAACCUGUUAAGCAGACCUACGUUUUGGCUGUGACAUCCACAUACUGUCCAGGGCGAAAGUGAGCAGCAUAAAGAGGAGUGCCUUUAUGAAAAGAAAACAAGCAAUAUAUGAAAUGUCGGCCCAGAACAACGUCACUGAACAUAAACUACAUCUAGAAAGCCUAUCAGGUUUCCAAAAAAGUAGAAGAUUCUCUUCUGCAAUUAUAAUUAUUAGAAACAUCAAUAAUUAAAAUUGUUCAUCAAACAUGUUUUAAUCGACUGUCCAUGGGCUGAAGAACAAUGUGUCCCAGGAUGUCGGGCCAACAGAUCACGGCUGGCGGAUGGGCUUGUGCCUUCACAGAGGCCAAUGUGGUACUGGUUGAAAUGGGUAAUUCACAUGACGGACACUGUGUUCUUGCUGGUAAAUACAUGGGUUUGAUGAUUUUUUGUUGCUUUGGUAAAUAACAAUAUACUGACUUAAGAUAUUUUUCCUAUUUCAUAUAACGAAAAUAAAAAUAAAAGAAUGACUCAAAAAAAUGUUCUGGCUGAAUCAAAUCUUUUUUAGAGAUUUGAGAUAAGUUAUCCGAAAGUAGGAACUUAAGUGUUUGAACCCAGCUUCAUUGUACACGGGAUGUGUGAUAUCCAUAUAUAGCCCAUACAUAUCUAUUGUUGGUAGAAUGGUCACUGUAUCAAUAAAAUAUAGUUAUUCUAGCAUGCCUGGAUCAUUUAGAAUACUGAAAAAUUGCUAUUAUUGAUACCCCUAGUUUUAUAUACUAACAUUUCCAAAUCUGGUUGUAUGUAAAUGGAGUCUUACUUAAAAUACACCAAAAAAAUGUGUUAUUUAAAGGAAUUUUGUAAGUGAAAGUCCUUCACAACAUUUUGUUUGCAUCAAUUUAAAGUUAACACUAUGAGAACUAUUUAAUUUGACAAUCUGCAAAUACUGCACAUUUACCAUAUGUACAGUUAGAAAUACAGAAGUAUAAGACAUGGUUCCUGACCUCAAGAAUUUAUUAUAUAGGUGAAGAAUCAACGUUAACUUCAUCAAAUAAGAGACAUUUUUCUUAAAAACAAAACAAAAAAAAGCCAUAAUCAAUGUAAUAGGGAAUAUAAUUGAAUGCUAUUUUUGGCUCAUUUAAAACAGGGAGUAAGAUUCUAUGGGAUUUCAGAGGGGUAGUAUCGUUUAAUGAAGGACUUAACCUAGAUUUGUAUGGGCAGAGAAAAACAUUGAACUAAGAAAAAAUAGGAGAGAUUAAAACUGACUAAAUUUCUAGGAGGGUGAAUGACUUGAACUGUUGAUACAUGGCCACUUUUCACCACAAAAACAAUUUUAAAUGGUUUGAGCUACAACAGAAGUUAAUGUGGACUUAAUUUUUACAUUUGUUCCCUUAAUUCCAUUCACUUUAGCUUUAAACUAUAAAACUUGCACUUCAAAAAACACUUUUAAUUCUAGCUUAUAUCAAGGCUGAUCCUCUGUCAUUCCAAUUAAUAAGGCCUAUUGAAAUUGUAGUUUACUUCAUGAAAUUCAGUUCAGAUAUUAAAGUAUUAAAUCUCAAGACACCCUCUGACUGUCUAAUUGUUAGAACUCAAGUUCAAGACAUGAGGGAGCUUUUCUGAAGUUCAAAGAUGUCAAAAUGUUGUUAACUACAUAAACCGACAUAAACACAUUGCCGAACUGUACUUUUUGACAUUUGGUAAAGUAAAAUACUUUGGAAUUUUUAAGUAAGGAUCAAGGUGCUAUGGUCAGUCACUCUACUGUUUCAUAUUUUCUCAAAUUCUUCUAUCUCAACGGGGGUCUAGCUGUUCCUCACUUACUAAAAUGCCACCCUACACCGAGUGAACUUCACAUUUUAAAAGUUUGUGUAUUUAUUUGGAGUGACUCUUCCAAAUGUAAAACUCUCUGUACAAGUUAAAAACAAAAGCGCUCCUCCCUCUUUAAUGGAAAACAAAGAGUUCUCUACAGUUCCUUCUAGUCAAAAAAGAAAAUGGCUUGUUUGUCUCCAGUGAUUAAAUUAGAUGCCAUUUUGUAUUUAAAAAUAAAUGUUUGGGGCUUUGUAUUGUGGAUUCAACUUUACCAAAAGGGCUAACAUUAAACAAACCACGUAUCUGGGUAUUUUUGCCUCCCUCCUCUCCCCAACCUCAGAUUACCUGGUUUAAUCACAGCAUUAUCUGUUACACGAAAGAUUUUAACUUUCUGUUUUGGCGGCAAUCCAAGUUCUUGGUAAAAUUCCAAUAGAGAUGGAGAUUUCUGGAGGAAAAGCAGUACACAUAAGUAACUCAUUAAUACUAAAGGUGGAGUUCAAUACACAGAGAUCUAAACCAAGUUAUCAACAAAUCAUUAAGAGCACACUGUUUCCCUAAUGAACAAAGAGCACCACAUUCCUCUUAUUUGGGGAGGUGGGAUUUUUAUCUAUAAUCCAUUACACCAAGGAUCCACCAUGUGCAUGGUGGAGCUCAUAUACACUAAAUGGUGAAAGACUUUUCUUCUGUAGGAGAAGAAAGAGUUGUGAUCAUAUGUGAAUUCUGACUGGAGACUGUAAGUAUCAAGAAACCUAAUCCUAAGGCACCUGGGUGGCUCGGUGGGUUAAGCGUCCAACUCUUGAUUUUGGCUCCGGUCAUGAUCUCACAGUCCAUGGGAUUGAGCCCUACGUCAGGCACUGUGCUGACAGCAUGAAGCCUGCCUGGGAUUCUCUCUCUCCCCCUCCUUGUGUGUGCAUGCAUACUCUCUCAAAAUAAAUUAAUUAAAAAAAAAAACUUUAAAACACAAAAAACAAAAAACCCAAAACUUUCUCUUGACCACACAGCCUCCUUUAGCUAAUCUUUCCAUUCCCCCUUACAAUCUCCUUGAAAGACUUUUGCUGAAACUACAUUCUAUCUUCCCAUUCUCUCAAACCCACUUUAAUUAGAUACUUGCAGCCCCUAAUACUCAAUGCAAAGCGCUUGUCAAGGUCACCAACCAUCUCCAUGUGGUCAAACACACCAGUCAAUACUCAUCUUAUUGGCUCUAUCAGCAAUGCUUGGCACAGGUGACCACUUUCUCCUUGAGGCUGUCACUCUCUGUUCUUUCACACGCUAAAAACCCCACAUUUCUAACUUCAAUUGCAAAUUCUAUUCUGAACUGCAAAUUCAUUCAUCCAAAUGCCAACUCACUAUCUCACUUGGAUGUCAUACAGCAACUCAAAUAUGACAUGUCUAAAAUUGAACUCAACUUCCCCCCAGAAGCCUGCUUUCCUCUGAUCUUCCAAAUCUCAACAAAGGGCAACUCCAUACUUCUGUUGUUUGGACCCCAAAUCUUGUGAUUACCUUUGACUCUUUUCUUUCUCACAUCCCACGUCCCACUGAUCAGCAGUUCCUGUAGACUCUAAAAAUACAGUCCACGUGUGCCUGGGUGGCUGAGUCAGUUAAGGAUCUGACUCUUGACUUCAGCUCAGGUCAUGAUCUCACAGGUUUAAGCCCUAUGACAGGGUCCUCACCGUCACAAUGUGGAGACUGCUUGGGAUUCUCUCUCUCUCCCUCUGCCCCUCCCCUGCUCACGCUCUCUCUCUCUCAAACAAAAGAGAAAAAAAUACAGCCCACAUCAACUACUUCUCACCCGCACCCCAAUCCACCAUCUUUUUCCUGGAUUAUUUCCAUAGCCUCCUAGUCGGUCUCCAAACUUCCACACUCCUGGCUCCACGCUCUGUUCUCUAGUCACAGGCUGGCAUGACCCUUUUAAAACUCCAGCUAACUCAUGUGUCCACAAUGGUUUCCAUCUCAUGCAGAAUCAAUCCUAAAUCCUUAACAUGGUUUACAAGGUUCUGUACAUUCUGUCAUCUACUACUCUCCUCCUGGCCACCCUGCUUCAGGUACAAUGCAUUCCUCCUAACCAGUCCAAGAACACGUUGAACAAUGGCCUCAGGUACUUUGCACAUACUGUCCCCCCCUGCCUGAAAUGCUUUCCUGCCAGAUUUUUUCCAGGCCUUGCUCCCUCAAUUUAUUCAGGCCUCUACCCAAAUAUUAACUUACCUUUCCUGAUUAUUCUGUCUAAAAUAGCACCACUUUCUGUCACUCGCAAUCCUCUCAACCUACUUUAUUAGUCUUAGAAGCACUUCUAUAGCCAUUUUUUAUUGUUUAUCUUCUAUGCUACAGCCUCCCUGCUUCACCCCCAAGCCCACCAAAAUGUAAGCUUUGAGAACAGAAACUUUAAUUGCUGCUACAUCCCCAGCUCCUGGUAGGUCCUGCUGCCUGUUUUUCCCUUCACCCUUGCCCUUUUUUCUGCUACUGUAAAUAUGCUUGAAUAAAAAAUAUCUUUGAAUGGAAAACUUCAUGGAUACCUCAUUUCCUUAAAAUGAUGUCCUGGGUCUUUUUUUCAAUUCUUAAGACUCUCGAUAUAGAUUGCUGGAAGACUUACCAAAAGAGUUGUACCACUUUACAUUUUCUGGUGUGAAGAGUACCUCUUUCAUGCGACUAUAACCAACAUAGGCGUAUCUAUCUUCCUGAUGCUCUCUCCCCUUCAACUUCCUCUCUCAUCACAAAAGAAACACCUGCAGCCCAACAAGCCAUAGUACUCUAUGUAUGCUUACCUAUGUCUGCUUACGCCAGUCCCUUGGCCUGUAAUUCUUCUCCACCUCUGUACCUCCAAAGCAUGUUAAAAAUCUGUUAAAUAUAUGUCUAGUCCCAGCUCCAGUGAGAUUUCCUGUCUAGAUUCCUGCCUGGGCCGCCUUGCCAGAGCAGACUACUUCCUUGUCUGUUAUCUCUAGACCUUGCAUACAUCUCAAUUAUUAUUCAUGUUACCUUACAUUUACCAGUGAAUGUUUGCCUGUCUGCUGGAGCACAUGGGUGGCGAGCUGUUUUAUUCACCUGUAUCUGUAACUUUAGAGCUAAGCACAGUGGCAAGUCAGACACUGCAGAAGUGAGCUAAAUGAAUGGUGAAGACACAAGAGAUGGAGGACAGACAUCCGUCUAGACGUGAAGUCCUGGUUUGUCUCUCCAAGCCACCCCACCUUUCCACGCUUGCUGCUGCAUCAGUUCUUGGCACACAAUAUUACUGUGUUUACAAUGCUAUCUUCGAGUCUAGUUAUUUAAAAAAUUGCAGGCCUAAAAUAAACAUUACAGCUUAUUCUGAGGAUGAGCAAAUCUUCAGGAAACUAUAUUAUGAAACCAAACCAAGAGUAAUUUUGUAAUUAAAAAAGCAAGCACAGCAGCAACUGAAAAACCCUAGCCAACUCAAGAGGAUGCUGAUGAUGUACGGAUAAUCAAGCAUCACUGCACACCCAAUCCAAUGGAGUAUCUGCACAGCCAGACUUAAUUGUAGAAUAUGUGAAUAUGGAGCAAACUGCAGUUCCUUGAUUUCAGUUUAAAAUGUGGACUGUUAGGGCCACCCUGUAACACUGAGAAGGUUGCCUUUGAUAGACAUGAAAUUGGGUGGCACUGGCCCAUAAGUAUAGAAUGUUAAUUUUCGGGUCAGCCCACAAACCCUGGAGCCCUCUAGUGGAACCAUGCAACAGAUGCUGAGAAGCCCUGCUUUGGAUGCCUACAAAAGAUUGUUCUGUACUUCAGUGUUCCCUCAAGAAGCUCUCCUUUCCUCCUUUCCUCCAAAAGAAUGAUGACAUAAGUUCAUCCCAGUCAUUCUCUAUAGUUUCACCUCCCACAUGCUCAAAUCCAACACUCAUAUUCAACAACACACUUAUCAAGUCCCCUACUUUUCAUCAACCAUACACACUUCAUUUGCAACAAAAGCAAACACAUAAGUUCUCAUUUGAAAAUGUGGCUCCUUGGGGCGCCUG